This 497-nucleotide ribosomal RNA is filed under the name uncultured bacterium. RNAcentral's name for it is "partial 16S ribosomal RNA". It matches the Rfam family "Bacterial small subunit ribosomal RNA", at positions 28 to 507 of the family's 1533-position model. The record is from RNAcentral.
GAUGAACGCUGGCGGCGUGCCUAAUACAUGCAAGUCGAGCGAACAGACGAGGAGCUUGCUCCUCUGACGUUAGCGGCGGACGGGUGAGUAACACGUGGAUAACCUACCUAUAAGACUGGGAUAACUUCGGGAAACCGGAGCUAAUACCGGAUAAUAUAUUGAACCGCAUGGUUCAAUAGUGAAAGACGGUUUUGCUGUCACUUAUAGAUGGAUCCGCGCCGCAUUAGCUAGUUGGUAAGGUAACGGCUUACCAAGGCAACGAUGCGUAGCCGACCUGAGAGGGUGAUCGGCCACACUGGAAUAGAGACACGGUCCAGACUCCUACGGGAGGCAGCAGUAGGGAAUCUUCCGCAAUGGGCGAAAGCCUGACGGAGCAACGCCGCGUGAGUGAUGAAGGUCUUCGGAUCGUAAAACUCUGUUAUUAGGGAAGAACAAAUGUGUAAGUAACUAUGCACGUCUUGACGGUACCUAAUCAGAAAGCCACGGCUAACUACGUG